GACGAACGCUGGCGGCGCGCCUAACACAUGCAAGUCGAGCGGAGAUAUACGAAGAGUAAUCCGAGUAUAUCUUAGCGGCGGACGGGUGAGUAACGCGUGAGUGACCUGCCUCUUACAGGGGAAUAACGUGCCGAAAGGCACACUAAUACCGCAUAAGACCACGAAACCGCAUGGUUAUGAGGUCAAAGGAGCAAUCCGGUAAGAGAUGGGCUCGCGUCCGAUUAGAUAGUUGGUGAGGUAACGGCCCACCAAGUCGACGAUCGGUAGCCGACCUGAGAGGGUGAUCGGCCACAUUGGAACUGAGAGACGGUCCAAACUCCUACGGGAGGCAGCAGUGGGGAAUAUUGGGCAAUGGGGGAAACCCUGACCCAGCGACGCCGCGUGAGGGAAGAAGGUUUUCGGAUUGUAAACCUCUGUUCUUGGUGAAGAGGGGAAGACGGUAGGCCAAGGAGGAAGCCACGGCUAACUACGUG
RNAcentral lists this ribosomal RNA (473 nucleotides) under uncultured bacterium. RNAcentral's name for it is "bacterial SSU rRNA". It matches the Rfam family "Bacterial small subunit ribosomal RNA", at positions 28 to 507 of the family's 1533-position model. The record is from RNAcentral.